This 21-nucleotide ribosomal RNA is filed under the name Pleurotus pulmonarius. RNAcentral's name for it is "partial 18S ribosomal RNA". The record is from RNAcentral. Lineage: Eukaryota; Fungi; Basidiomycota; Agaricomycetes; Agaricales; Pleurotaceae.
AGGACUGCGGAAGGAUCAUUA